GAGCUUUCUCAGAGAUGAGAAUGACGCACAGUGCACAAAUAAUAUGAGGAAAAUAUGAGAUAUCUCUGUCAGGAGUUCAGCCUACACUCGAGUAGGACCUUGGCAGAGACACAUGCCCGACUGGCAUGUUCCCUCCCUCCUGGUUGAUAGUUCAGGAGCUUCAAAAGGUUUCUUCUGUCCGAAUAUCACAGCAACCAAUGCCAAUCAACACCGGCACACUCAGGGAUCCGCAGAGUUUGCACAUCAUGCAUGACAGACCUCAGCAACUCAGCGUUUUGGCUAAUCUACUUUAUUUACAUAUAAAUACACACUGAGCACUGCAACACGGCUCCAUCUCUCUCUAGCAUCAGACAGCAAAGAGAAAAAAGAACAAAGGACAAUAGUCCCACUUCACAGAACACAGUAACACAAACAUCCUGUCUCCAUCACUUCCCACUCUGUGGAGUCAAAACAUACACCAUCAUGUGAUAGACAAAAAUCCCAUGAUUGCAAUCAUGGAGCAGGAAUUCUAACACUCUCAUGCUAUCCAUGGGUGGCUAAAUAUGUGGAUGUCAUUAAUAGAUGCUGUAGAGUGGUAGAAGACACAAAUUUCUGUGAAUAAUAAGAAGGGAAACUUAAACUGUUAAAUUUCUCAUACUGUUACAUUACUUCAGUCAAAUUAACUAUCUUUCAUUUACUUUAUUUCCUAAUUAAUUUACUAAAAUUAAUGUCUCAAUGUAAUUUAAAUUUUCAAGGGUAUAACUUCCACCUAAAUCACAGGCAAUUCAUUACUUCAAAAAUCAACUUUACAAUAUUUCCUAUAUCAAGGGAAUAAUACGUUAACCAAUGAAUACCUUCUCACAUUUGAUAGAUCUUAUUUAAAGCUGAUUUAAAAAGGCCUAUUUUAACCUGAGUUAUACAUGGAUCAAUUAAUUUCACUGACUGAUAUGUUUAAACGUAAGACUUUGGUUUAUAUUCAUUUUUUAACUACAGUUAUUUGAUCCUGCAAAAUCACAUAUUCUUUCUCAAUUAACAUAUUCCCCAUGCACAUGAUAUGAAUGACAUUUUAUUUAUGAGGUUCAAUAAAAUUGAGGAAUACUUUUUUUAUAUUACAGAAAGCAAAACAUUUAGGCCCACUUUAGCCCUGGUUGAGGCUAAUCUGACUUCCUUAGGGCCCGGGACCUCUAAAGUGUUGCUAUUUAUGGACCUUAAGGUCCUCCACGGGGCAUACCAGGAGAGGCGGUCCCAUAGGUACGAGGGUCCUAGUGUUUCUAGGUAUCGUUACUGUGAGCAGUAAGCUACAAUGACCAGAAUUCUUUGACAGCGAAAUGAGUUUCAAAAGUGCUUUAAAGGUAUAGUGUGCAUGCCAACUGCCCCCCCCCCGAAUGUAGCUCAGUGGAUCAAUGUUUCUGGCUGUUAACCAGAAAGUUGGUGGUUCAAGCCCACCUGGGACAGCUGUGUGCAGAAUUCCUGUACUGCAGGAAGUUGGACUACAUGACCCUUAGGGUAUCUUCCAACUAUAUAAUUCUAUGCUUCUAUGCUCCAGCUUCUGGCACUUGAAAAACCCACUGGCUCAGCCAAUUUUCUGUCCUCGGUAGAGUAUGAAAGCAAUUAGGUAUGGGGUGAGUAAUAAAAUGACAAAUUUAACAACAACAACAACAACAACUUUUAAAAAACUUAACCUUUUCCAGUUUUGGAAACCUGUUCUUAAAAAGGAAAAAGUUAAGAACACUUUGAAUGUUGAUACCAAGGAGCAAAAUCAAAAUGACAGAAGAAAUUGUAUCCACCUCAAGCUAGACUAGAUUACUUUUCUCACCUGCUCAAUACUUUCUCAGAGCUGAGCUUCCAGUUCCAUUUGCAGCCUCCUUUCCUGGCUUCUUCCUUGUGCAGUGCUUCCACUGUGCUUCCUUACUUUGUCAUUGAAAUCCUGCUCGAUAUUGAUCCAGAGCAGAACUCCAAUGUAUAGUUAGCAGAGUAAAAAAUUAAACACAUUGCAGGAUUCCCACAAAAUAGACGAGAGGCAAUUGUAUUUCAUCCAGCAGGGCUUUACUGCUACUGAAGGCAAAUGAGCGUAAUGGUCACAAAUCUAAUACAUUCAGGAUUGGCACUGUCCUUAAGAAAUCCAGUUGCAGCAGACUUAACUUAAACUUACGAUAACUUAUAAUAAGUCUAAAACUUUAACAAUAGGCAUACUAUAUACAGAACACCACACAAGAAGGAAAGAGAGACAGAAAGGGAAAGUGAAACCCAGGCUCCUUCUUGCCUAUUAUUAUAGUCAGCAUGACCUUGACAGAAAAGAUAAGAGAACCAGUUUAAACCAGCUGUACUCAGCUUCUCUGAAGGAGCAACCCAAACAUCAUGAACCUUAUGCUUGUUUCUUUCACACAGAGAAGCUUCUCUUGAAUUAAGUAGAAUGGGAAAGAUACCAUACAUUGGAUCAAUACUUUAUGUACUAAGAAAUGCAAACUGACAUACUUCCACAAUGUUUCAAUUUGUUUCCCCACCACCAUCGUUUCAGCAUUCACACAAAUACUCCCUUUUUCUCUAUCUUCCACUAUGAUCAUACUAUGUUUCAACUGUCUCCUUAUACACAUUAUUUCUACUCUCCCCCUGAACCUCAUAGUCAGUUAGAAGGGGAGUACACUUGUGGAUAAGUUUCCAUCCUUUCAACCUGCUCAAUUUCUCUCCCUUAAAUCUUGAGGAUGCAUGUUUCCUUAACUACCAAGUUGCUGGGCUGCAUAUUUUUUUCCUCUGUUAACUUAGAACAGACACAUUUUUUUUAAC
Molecule: long non-coding RNA, 2763 nt
Filed under: Podarcis lilfordi (Lilford's wall lizard)
Lineage: Eukaryota; Metazoa; Chordata; Lepidosauria; Squamata; Lacertidae
Rfam family: tRNA (bases 1368-1426)
Source: RNAcentral